ACCAGGCACUAAACUACAUUGUCGAAGGAGUUAGGAGUUAAUAUAUUUGACUUUUUUUGCGAAAUGGCCCCCAGGGAGGGGGUUGAUUUCAUCAAAGUGAAGAUUGAACAUCGUCUUCCUCUGUCUUUCUGAUUGCAUUCGGUCGCCCGAUUGCGCGAAGAGAGGCACGUCGAUACUACGUUGCGCAAAAAGUCUGCGAAAGCUUGUUACACAAAGUCUCCAUCAUCGCGGG
Molecule: small RNA, 232 nt
Filed under: Histoplasma capsulatum
Lineage: Eukaryota; Fungi; Ascomycota; Eurotiomycetes; Onygenales; Ajellomycetaceae
Also listed under: 1 other name
Description: hypothetical RNA
Source: RNAcentral